GUAGAUAUAGUUUAACAAAAAUACUAGAUUGUGAUUCUAGAGACAGAGGUUAAACUCCCCUUAUCCACC
This 69-nucleotide transfer RNA is filed under the name Cheilopogon pinnatibarbatus (Bennett's flyingfish). RNAcentral's name for it is "tRNA-His". It matches the Rfam family "tRNA". From Rfam's summary of the family: Transfer RNA (tRNA) molecules are approximately 80 nucleotides in length. Their secondary structure includes four short double-helical elements and three loops (D, anti-codon, and T loops). RNAcentral also lists the same sequence under 3 other names. The record is from RNAcentral. Lineage: Eukaryota; Metazoa; Chordata; Actinopteri; Beloniformes; Exocoetidae.